GCUAGUGUAGCUUAAUUUAAAGCAUGGCACGAAGAUGUUAGU
Molecule: transfer RNA, 42 nt
Filed under: Sphyrna mokarran (great hammerhead)
Lineage: Eukaryota; Metazoa; Chordata; Chondrichthyes; Carcharhiniformes; Carcharhinidae
Description: partial tRNA-Phe
Source: RNAcentral